Molecule: ribosomal RNA, 774 nt
Filed under: uncultured Neocallimastigales
Lineage: Eukaryota; Fungi; Neocallimastigomycota; Neocallimastigomycetes; Neocallimastigales
Description: partial large subunit ribosomal RNA
Rfam family: Eukaryotic large subunit ribosomal RNA
Source: RNAcentral
UACUAGAGUAGCACUCGCAUAUCAAUAAGCGGAGGAAAAGAAACUAACAAGGAUUCCCCUAGUAACGGCGAGUGAAGCGGGAAGAGCUCAAAUUUGAAAUCUUAAAGGGUUUCCCUUACGAAUUGUAGUUUAAAGAAGUGUUUUCUGAUGAGGUUUUGGUAAAAGUUCUUUGGAAUAGGACAUCAUAGAGGGUGAGAAUCCCGUAUUUGACCUUUACUUUCAACUUUGUGAUACACUUUCAAAGAGUCGGAUUGUUUGGGAAUGCAGUCCAAAAUGGGUGGUAAAUUUCAUCUAAAGCUAAAUAUUGGCGAGAGACUGAUAGCGAACAAGUACCGUGAGGGAAAGAUGAAAAGAACUUUGAAAAGAGAGUUAAACAGUACGUGAAAUUGUCAAAAGGGAAGCGCUUGGACACCAGUGUUGUUUUUCUGAAAAUCAAUUAAAGAACUGUUUAUGCUAAGUUGUUUAGACUUUAUCAGCUAUCUGUUUAGUUUUGAGCUUUUCUUUAAUGCACUUUUCAGUUAACAAGUCAACAUCAAUUUCUUUUGCUGUAAAAAAGCUUGAGGAAGGUGGCUUGAGAUUCGUCUUAAGUGUUUAUAGCCUCUUGCCUAUGCAGUCGGAGAGAUUGAGGUCUGCAGCGUAGAUCCUUCGGGGCUAAAUGCAUUUGUGCUAAGUUAUAGCAUUUUAUAGACAACUUGUUGACUAUGAUUUGUCUUGUAGCUUACUCGCUUAUGUUAUUUUACCUACGCUUAGGAUGUUGAACUACUGAGACAUAGA